RNAcentral lists this long non-coding RNA (986 nucleotides) under Lathyrus oleraceus (garden pea). Its description in RNAcentral is "Pisum sativum (pea) long non-coding RNA (PSAT_LNC034606)". Lineage: Eukaryota; Viridiplantae; Streptophyta; Magnoliopsida; Fabales; Fabaceae. The record is from RNAcentral.
UAAUUUAUAAUAAAAGAGAUGUAAUAUGAUAUCUCUGUGACACUCAUACAAUUGUGUGUUUAAAUUUGUGUAUUCAUAAGUAGGGAUAACAAAACGGGUCCGAUCCGUUAGACAUGUCCGUUUUAAAGUGCGGGACGGACCAAGAGUUUAAGUCCGCACUCUCAAAUGUGCCCGUUCCGCCCCGCUUUUCUCACAGACACGUAAUUACAUGAAUCUUUGUAUUUUUAGACCUAAAAGGUGCAAUGCCCACGGGCCCGCCCCUCACAUUUAGUGCAGGACGGGCAAAGAUUUUAGGCCGCAUCCUCAAGUAUGCCCGCCCCACCCCAUCCCAUUUUUUUUGUGGGCUUUUGCGAGACGGAUCUAAAUUGGGCAGGCAUACCCGUUUACUGAGUAAAUUCCAUCAGAAUUAUGCAGCCACACAAACCGGUCCUCACGACACUGCUCCAGCCGAACAUCAAGCAGAAUACAGUACAAUUCUUCCAGCUGCAUUCUAGCUUCAAUCUGCAUAAUUUCUGGUCUGCAGUGGAUGUGCCAACUGUUAUUCGAUGAGGAUGAGGAAAACAUAUCCUGCACUAAACCAGUUUUCAAAACAGACAGAUUAGAAACAGAUGGGAACGGGCUCCUCUAAAGUUCUUGAGCCAAUCCAUCGAUGUUUCCAAAUCAGAAUGGAGUUACCUGCACCAAUUUUACAAGCAAUUCCAUCAUGAAACCAAUCAGUCCCUACUGCCACAUUACUCCCGAGAGCUAUGAGGUCCCUCCACCAAAGGGAAUCUGUAUUUCUUUCAUGAGAAAGGUCAUCCCCAUCAUUAACUUGAAAGAGAGUUGCAAUGUUUGAGUUAUGCUAUCUAAAACAUACACAGUAAAGUCAAACUUACCUGAAGCGUGUCCUUAAUAAGUUCGGACAGAAUUUGACCAGACCCAUCAGAGCUGAGAUCAACAAAUGAUACCGGCAUCAUUUUUGCAAUGCAUUCUUCCCGCACAAGGUC